GCAAACUUGGUCAUUUAGAGGAAGUAAAAGUCGUAACAAGGUCUCCGUUGGUGAACCAGCGGAGGGAUCAUUACCGAGUUUACAACUCCCAAACCCACUGUGAACCUUACCUAUCGUUGCUUCGGCGGGACCGCCCCGGCGCCGACUCAGGCCCGGAACCAGGCGCCCGCCGGAGGCCCGAAACUCUAUUGUCUAUAAGUUUUCUCCUCUGAUUACACAUAAACAAUAAAUCAAAACUUUCAACAACGGAUCUCUUGGUUCUGGCAUCGAUGAAGAACGCAGC
RNAcentral lists this unclassified non-coding RNA (283 nucleotides) under uncultured fungus. Its description in RNAcentral is "partial contains small subunit ribosomal RNA, internal transcribed spacer 1, and 5.8S ribosomal RNA". The stretch from base 1 to 73 matches the Rfam family "Eukaryotic small subunit ribosomal RNA", at positions 1759 to 1831 of the family's 1831-position model. The record is from RNAcentral. Lineage: Eukaryota; Fungi.